UUCAUGACAAGGUUGUAGCUGGCCCCAUCCGGGCAUGUGCACGCCUUGCUCAUUCCAAUUCUACACCUCUGUGCACUUAACAUGGGUUGGUUGCGGCUCGUCUUUCGGGAUGGGCUUGACCGCCUGUGGUUUUCUACAAACUCAUAUAGUAAUAGAAUGUAAACCGCGUAUAAUAACGCAUCUUAUACAACUUUCAGCAACGGAUCUCUUGGCUCUCGCAUCGAUGAAGAACGCAGCGAAAUGCGAUAAGUAAUGUGAAUUGCAGAAUUCAGUGAAUCAUCGAAUCUUUGAACGCACCUUGCGCUCCUUGGUAUUCCGAGGAGCAUGCCUGUUUGAGUGUCAUGGUAUUCUCAACUCCCUAAAUCUUUGCGGAUUUUGGGUGAGUUGGAUGUGGAGGUGAUUGCUGGCGUGUGCGCAUUAGUUUGCGUUGUCGGCUCCUCUGAAAUAAAUUAGCGGAAAUGUUGCCGUGUCAACCUCAGUGUGAUAAUUGUCUACGCUGUUGUUGCUCAGCAAAAUAUAUGUUUCCGCUUCAAAUCGUCUUCGGACAAUUUCUUGACAUCUGACCUCAAAUCAGGUAGGACUACCCGCUGAACUUAAGCAUAUCAAUAAGCGGAGGAAAAGAAACUAACAAGGAUUCCCCUAGUAACUGCGAGUGAAGCGGGAAAAGCUCAAAUUUAAAAUCUGGCAGUCUUUGGCUGUCCGAAUUGUAUUCUGGAGAAGCGUUUUCCGCGCUGGACCGUGUACAAGUCUCUUGGAAUAGAGCGUCAUAGAGGGUGAGAAUCCCGUCUUUGACACGGACUACCAGUGCUUUGUGAUGCGCUCUCAAAGAGUCGAGUUGUUUGGGAAUGCAGCUCAAAAUGGGUGGUGAAUUCCAUCUAAAGCUAAAUAUUGGCGAGAGACCGAUAGCGAACAAGUACCGUGAGGGAAAGAUGAAAAGCACUUUGGAAAGAGAGUUAAACAGUACGUGAAAUUGCUGAAAGGGAAACGCUUGAAGUCAGUCGCGUCAUCCAGAACUCAGCCUGGCUUUUGCUUGGUGUAUUUUCUGGUUGACGGGCCAGCAUCAGUUUUGACCGCUGGAAAAAGGCCAUGGGAAUGUGGCACCUUCGGGUGUGUUAUAGCCUGUGGUCAUAUACAGCGGUUGGGACUGAGGACCGCAGCACGCCUUUAUGGUUGGGGUUCGCCCA
Molecule: ribosomal RNA, 1184 nt
Filed under: Panus sp. M2028-7-P30
Lineage: Eukaryota; Fungi; Basidiomycota; Agaricomycetes; Polyporales; Panaceae
Description: eukaryotic LSU rRNA
Rfam family: Eukaryotic large subunit ribosomal RNA (bases 561-1184)
Source: RNAcentral